AAUCUUAAAAAAAAGACUUUAUUGAGAUGUAAUUCUCAUAGCAUACUAUUCACCAGUGGGAGACAAUUUUGGGAGUCACAACUUGAGGUGGGGGUGGGGGAACGCUACAGGCGUGUAGUGGGCAGAGGCCAGGGCUGCGGCGAAAAUCCUACAGCUCUGCACCCGACAGCCCCCCACAGCAGGACCAAGAGUGAUCCCGCCCCAAAUAUCAACAAUGCUGAGCCUGAGACACCCUCAUCCACCGCCUUGGCGCAUUUCUCUGCAGGGUCCUUUCUUGCAAGGAGCUCACAGCCGAGCAGCAGAGACGGGAAGAGCCUAACAAGAAGGGGGAUCAUCUCAAUCUCCCCCGAACCAUUUUAUUUUGAAGUAAUCUCUACACCCAGUGUGGGCCUCGAACUUACAACCCCAAGAUCAAGAAUCACAUGCUUUACCAACUGAGCCAGCCAGGCGCCCUGUGUAACUAUCUUUAUUGUAAUAUUCACAUCUUUCCAGAGCUGGCCGCCGGAAGCUCUUUUAAGCCGGCUCCUGUGUGACUGGGAAUUUAUCCGGAAGAAGCAUUUCCCUGUGGAUUGGAUGGGCUGAGCGUGAGAGAGGAGAGGAGGCUAGAGUUUUUUUUUCAGCAGAUACUUACUGCCAGGGACUAGGAAUCAAACAGUGAUAAAAACAGUCAAAAGUUCCUGCUCUUGGAGACCUCAGGAUUGGUGGUAGCAGAUCCCGGGGAGGGGCUUACUGGUGGAGAGAGGGCACAGAGUUUAGGAGGAGAAUCUGGAACUGGGUCUUUUUUUUUAAGAUUUUGUUUAUUUGACAGAGAGACACAGCAAGAGAGGGAACACAAGCAGGGGGAGUGGGAGAGGAAGAGGCAGGCUCCCAGCGGAGCAGGGAGCCCGAUGCGGGGCUCGAUCCCAGAACCCUGGGAUCACGCCCUGAGCCGAAGGCAGACGCUUAACGACUGAGCCACCCAGGUGCCCCUGGAACUGGGUCUUGGACAAGUCGAGCUGAGGUGGGGUAGACAGAGACGCCUCUUGUCCU
This 1029-nucleotide long non-coding RNA is filed under the name Ursus maritimus (polar bear). RNAcentral describes it as "lncRNA (ENSUMAG00000023441.1)". The record is from RNAcentral. Lineage: Eukaryota; Metazoa; Chordata; Mammalia; Carnivora; Ursidae.